Parus major (Great Tit) is the source of this 1865-nucleotide long non-coding RNA. NCBI's taxonomy places the organism in Eukaryota, Metazoa, Chordata, Aves, Passeriformes, Paridae. The record is from Ensembl.
GCCGCGACCAGCGGCCCUCGGCUGCGGCCCGCGCGGCCCUUUGUGACUCAUGUGACUGACGCGCGCGGCGCUGACCAAUGGCAGCGGCUCCUCCCUUGCCCGCCUGGCCCCGCCUCCUCACGGGCCUCACGGCCAAUCGGGGGGGCAAGUUCGCCUCCGUCGCCAGCUUCUUCUUGACGGACGGGUGCGAAAGCAAAUGAGAUCGCUAGCCCCGCCCCUGCCGGCCAAUGGCCGACGCGCAAUGCGGCGCUCGCGGGCUGGGGGCAGCCAAGGAGGGCCUGGCCGGACGCCCCCGCCCCGGCGGAGUCGCUGUUGCCGCCGCCGCUGGCCGCGCUCCUCCACCGGGGGUAGACGCCUCUCCUUCCCCACCCCCACCGUGAGGGGCUGCGGCCGCCCCUGGCCCCGGGCAGCCCCGCCGCCCGCCACACGUUCCCUGGCUGGAUGCGACACGGGGCGGGGAGGAGCCGCCCGGCCGCUGCGUGCGGGGGCUCUGCGCGCUCUUAAGAGACGGGGAGCGGCGGCUGGAGAUAGUGUGUGCCUUCCUGUGUAUCCGAGGCUGGGCCAGCAAAUACGUCUCUCGACGACUGUCCAACCUUUGAAACUUGGAGCUCCGGCAGGUGCGGUUGGCACUGGUGGAGAUAUCAGUUGCAAAUGGAAGGAACAGUCCUUCAGCCAGGAUGUGGAAGAGAAUUCCUCCCCAAAUACUGAGACUUUCAGUGUCCCAACUGCCAAAAACCAAAGCCACCUCCUACACCUUCCUGGAUGCGAGAAACCCCAACUGCCCGCUACCCAUCUGUCAAAAUUUAUAGAUCUCCUUAGACAAAUAUUAACAAUUCAGUCAUGCGCAAAGCCUGUGGCAUAUUGAAAAAAUUGGGAGAAGGAUAAAAUACAUUGAAUGCAAUGUGAAAAUAAGCUAUGUGGUGAGUAGUUUACUCUUUUUCCCUCUGUCUCCAUCUGCUUUCCUCUGUCUUCUGCUUAGCUUUAAAAGGCUUUGGGAUGUGUCUUUGUUCUCCAAAUGCUGAAUAUGAUGAUGGAUCACAAUACAUUUAUCUCUCUGCAUUUCUGCCACACUCAUCCUUUGCCCUGCCUCCUUAGGGCACUUUUGUGUUGGAUGGUAAUUUUUGCAUUUACAUUCUUAAAAGCAGUGGAACAAGUUAGUUAUAGCAUACCUUUUAAUUGUCUGUAAAAAGCAGGCAGUACUUCAGAUAUUCAUUUGGGGAGAGAAUCCUGAAAACCAAAAGGAAAUAAGUAGGGAACACACAUCGGAUGCCUGGCACACGUCGAGUCCAACCACAGCUUUUUAACACCUCUGCAGUUGGCUACAGAUCAAACAACUUGCAGAUACCACCCGUCUGCCUCCCAGCACAAUGAUGCUACUGCCUUGUCUCUCAGUAAAGAGAAGUCUUAGCACUGUAUGGACACAAAUCCUAGCUAGAUGGGGACUGGAGAACUUGGACUAGGAGUAGCAGACAUACCCAAAGACCACCUAGCCCAAACAGAAGUCAAAAGAGAAGCAGAAGAACAAGGGAACUGAAGCUAAACUGUUUAUGCAGGACUUGAGUGAGGCUGGGAGAAAAGACUGACUAGGACAGGGCUCUCUUGUGGAGGUGGGAGGGAAAGAGAUGGUUCUUGGCCCUUGAUAAUGAUCAAGAACAUAAUGGGGAUCUGUAGUGAGAUAAUGUGAAUAGUAUGGGGAAAAAGGCAGGAAACCCUUCUUGACAGAACAGGUAGUAGCAUAGGGAGGAAAUUGUGACUAGAGCUGCUGGCAUAGGUGCAGAAGAAAAGGAUCGUGUGGGAGAAGGAGGACACAGAGACUCUUGAGAGGAUGGAGGAUGAUGACUGAGUUCCUGAAAUGAAGGUGUGGA